Molecule: ribosomal RNA, 119 nt
Filed under: Arabidopsis suecica
Lineage: Eukaryota; Viridiplantae; Streptophyta; Magnoliopsida; Brassicales; Brassicaceae
Also listed under: 1 other name
Source: RNAcentral
GGAUGCUAUCAUACCAGCACUAAUGCACCGGAUCCCAUCAGAACUCCGCAGUUAAGCGUGCUUGGGGGAGAGUAGUACUAGGAUGGGUGACCUCCCGGAAAGUCCUCGUGUUGCAUCCC